This 468-nucleotide ribosomal RNA is filed under the name uncultured bacterium. RNAcentral's name for it is "partial 16S ribosomal RNA". It matches the Rfam family "Bacterial small subunit ribosomal RNA", at positions 28 to 507 of the family's 1533-position model. The record is from RNAcentral.
GACGAACGCUGGCGGCGGGCUUAACACAUGCAAGUCGAACGGAAAGGUCCGGCUUUUGUGGGGUGCUGGAGGGGCGAAGGGGUGAGUAACACGUGUGUAACCUGCACCUGCCGGUGGGAUAACUUCAGGAAACUGGGGCUAAUACCGGAUAGGAGCUCCUGCAGCAUGGUGGGGGCGGGAAAGUUUCGGUGGUUGGGGAUGGACUCGCGCCUUAUGAGGUUGUUGGAGUGGUAGUGGCUUACCAAGGCCUUGACGGGUAGCCGGCCUGGUAGGGUGACCGGCCCCGUUGCGCCUGAGAUACGGCCCAGACUCCUACGGGAGGCAGCGGUGCGGAAUGUUGCCCAAGGCGCGGGGGCCUAAUCCAGCCACGCCGCGUCCGGGGUGACGGCCUUCGGGUAGUGUUCCACUUCCGCCUGUGCCGAAGCGUGAGUGACGGUAAUAGGUGAAGAAGCCCCGGCUAACUCCGUG